GGAAUUUUGGACAAUGGGCGAAAGCCUGAUCCAGCAAUGCCGCGUGAGUGAAGAAGGCCUUCGGGUUGUAAAGCUCUUUUGUCAGGGAAGAAACGGUGAAAGCUAAUAUCUUUUGCUAAUGACGGUACCUGAAGAAUAAGCACCGGCUAACUACGUGCCAGCAGCCGCGGUAAUACGUAGGGUGCAAGCGUUAAUCGGAAUUACUGGGCGUAAAGCGUGCGCAGGCGGUUUUGUAAGUCUGAUGUGAAAUCCCCGGGCUCAACCUGGGAAUUGCAUUGGAGACUGCAAGGCUAGAAUCUGGCAGAGGGGGGUAGAAUUCCACGUGUAGCAGUGAAAUGCGUAGAUAUGUGGAGGAACACCGAUGGCGAAGGCAGCCCCCUGGGUCAAGAUUGACGCUCAUGCACGAAAGCGUGGGGAGCAAACAGGAUUAGAUACCCGAG
RNAcentral lists this ribosomal RNA (440 nucleotides) under uncultured Janthinobacterium sp. RNAcentral's name for it is "bacterial SSU rRNA". It matches the Rfam family "Bacterial small subunit ribosomal RNA", at positions 358 to 790 of the family's 1533-position model. Lineage: Bacteria; Pseudomonadati; Pseudomonadota; Betaproteobacteria; Burkholderiales; Oxalobacteraceae. The record is from RNAcentral.